UGCGCCUACGGGACGCAGCAGUGAGGAAUAUUGGUCAAUGGACGAGAGUCUGAACCAGCCAAGUAGCGUGAAGGAUGACUGCCCUAUGGGUUGUAAACUUCUUUUAUAUGGGAAUAAAAUGUUCCACGUGUGGGAUUUUGUAUGUACCAUAUGAAUAAGGAUCGGCUAACUCCGUGCCAGCAGCCGCGGUAAUACGGAGGAUCCGAGCGUUAUCCGGAUUUAUUGGGUUUAAAGGGAGCGUAGGUGGAUUGUUAAGUCAGCGGUAAAAUGUCCGGGCUCAACCCGGGCCGGCCGUUGAAACUGGG
Molecule: ribosomal RNA, 305 nt
Filed under: uncultured bacterium
Lineage: Bacteria
Description: bacterial SSU rRNA
Rfam family: Bacterial small subunit ribosomal RNA
Source: RNAcentral